UACAGAGGGGGCAAGCGUUAUUCGGAAUUAUUGGGCGUAAAGGGCGCGUAGGCGGCCUGGCAAGUGGAGGGUGAAAUCCCUCGGCUUAACCGAGGAACUGCCCUCCAAACUGCUUGGCUUGAGUCCGGGAGAGGUGAGUGGAAUUCCCAGUGUAGCGGUGAAAUGCGUAGAUAUUGGGAGGAACACCAGUGGCGAAGGCGGCUCACUGGACCGGAACUGACGCUGAGGCGCGAAAGCGUGGGGAGCAAACGGG
RNAcentral lists this ribosomal RNA (253 nucleotides) under uncultured bacterium. RNAcentral's name for it is "partial 16S ribosomal RNA". It matches the Rfam family "Bacterial small subunit ribosomal RNA", at positions 524 to 776 of the family's 1533-position model. The record is from RNAcentral.